Molecule: ribosomal RNA, 497 nt
Filed under: uncultured bacterium
Lineage: Bacteria
Description: partial 16S ribosomal RNA
Rfam family: Bacterial small subunit ribosomal RNA
Source: RNAcentral
GAUGAACGCUGGCGGCGUGCCUAAUACAUGCAAGUCGAGCGAACGGACGAGAAGCUUGCUUCUCUGACGUUAGCGGCGGACGGGUGAGUAACACGUGGAUAACCUACCUAUAAGACUGGGAUAACUUCGGGAAACCGUAGCUAAUACCGGAUAAUAUUUUGAACCGCAUGGUUCAAAAGUGAAAGACGGUCCUGCUGUCACUUAUAGAUGGAUCCGCGCUGCAUUAGCUAGUUGGUAAGGUAACGGCUUACCAAGGCAACGAUGCAUAGCCGACCUGAGAGGGUGAUCGGCCACACUGGAACUGAGACACGGUCCAGACUCCUACGGGAGGCAGCAGUAGGGAAUCUUCCGCAAUGGGCGAAAGCCUGACGGAGCAACGUCGCGUGAGUGAUGAAGGUCUUCGGAUCGUAAAACUCUGUUAUUAGGGAAGAACAUAUGUGUAAGUAACUGUGCACAUCUUGACGGUACCUAAUCAGAAAGCCACGGCUAACUACGUG